RNAcentral lists this ribosomal RNA (274 nucleotides) under uncultured bacterium. Its description in RNAcentral is "partial 16S ribosomal RNA". It matches the Rfam family "Bacterial small subunit ribosomal RNA", at positions 523 to 796 of the family's 1533-position model. The record is from RNAcentral.
AUACGGAGGGGGCUAGCGUUGUUCGGAUUUACUGGGCGUAAAGCGCGCGGAGGCGGUAUAUCAAGUUAGGCGUUAAAGCCCCGGGCUCAACCCGGGAACUGCGCUUAUUACUGAUAAACUAGAGUCCGGGAGAGGGUGGCGGAAUUCCCACUGUAGAGGUGAAAUUCGUAGAUAUUGGGAAGAACACCAGUUGCGAAGGCGGCCACCUGGACCGGUACUGACGCUGAGGCGCGAAAGCGUGGGGAGCAAACAGGAUUAGAAACCCGAGUAGUCC